UCUGGGUGCGCUGUGUGUGUCUGGGGUGCUGUGUGUGUGUCUGGGGGUGCUGUGUGUGUCUGGGGUGCUGUGUGUGUAUCUGGGGGUGCUGUGUGUGUUUGGGUGCUGUGUGUGUUUGGGUGCUGUGUGUAUCUGAGGUGCUGUGUGUGGGUCUGGGGGUGCUGUGUGUGUGUCUGGGGGUGCUGUGUGUGUUUGGGUGCUGUGUGUAUCUGAGGUGCUGUGUGUGUGUCUGGGGGUGCUGUGUGUGUGUCUGGGGGUGCUGUGUGUGUGUCUGGGG
This is a non-coding RNA of Pelobates cultripes (western spadefoot toad), 277 nucleotides long. Lineage: Eukaryota; Metazoa; Chordata; Amphibia; Anura; Pelobatidae. The record is from the annotation of a GenBank genome assembly.